RNAcentral lists this ribosomal RNA (500 nucleotides) under uncultured bacterium. RNAcentral's name for it is "partial 16S ribosomal RNA". It matches the Rfam family "Bacterial small subunit ribosomal RNA", at positions 30 to 523 of the family's 1533-position model. The record is from RNAcentral.
AUUGAACGCUGGCGGAAUGCUUUACACAUGCAGGUCGAACGGCAGCACGGACUUCGGUCUGGUGGCGAGUGGCGAACGGGUGAGUAAUGUAUCGGAACGUGCCCAGUCGUGGGGGAUAACGUAGUGAAAAUUACGCUAAUACCGCAUACGAUCUAUGGAUGAAAGCGGGGGAUCGCAAGACCUCGCGCGAUUGGAGCGGCCGAUAACGGAUUAGGUAGUUGGUGGGGUAAAGGCCCACCAAGCCAACGAUCUGUAGCUGGUCUGAGAGGACGAACGGCCACAGUGGAACGGAGACACGGUCCAGACUCCUACGGGAGGCAGCAGUGGGGAAUGUUGGACAAGGGGCGAAAGCCUGAUCCAGCCAUUCCGCGUGCAGGAUGAAGGCCCUCGGGUUGUAAACUGCUUUUGUACAGAGCGAAAAGGUUUCUACUAAUACUAGGAGCUCAUGACGGUACUGUAAGAAUAAGCACCGGCUAACUACGUGCCAGCAGCCGCCGCAG